CCUUCGCUCUGCGUUUUCUAAAAUCUCAGAAACCAGCUUCAGCUACGUAACGUCCUCCUUUUUCUCCUUGAAUCGGAUUCCCCUUUAAUCUCAUCAUUUACGUCUCACCCACUACUCAUCCCGAAUUAAACAUCAUCAUUAUUAUCAAACGUAACUGAUUCAAGCUCUUCCCUAUAAAUUGGUUCUUAUCUAAUUGAUCAAGAGAAGGGAUCUCUACGCACAGUUCAACGAAAUCUCAAAGUAAAAAACUUCAUCAAGCUUUGAUUCCACCAAUGGCCGCUUCCGCUACUUGCUAACUUGAGAGUCGGCUGUUCCAACACCGCUGAGACGACAUGCUUUUUUUGGAUGAGCAGAGAUUGCAGUAACAGUGUCCUCUCCGAUCUGAAGUCCGGUCGUGCUUCUCAUGACUUUUGACAAUUUCUUCUAGGAAAGUCCAAGAAAGACAAAACAACGACUAUAAACCUUAUAUGGAUGUUAGUGAGAAGAGUUCUAACUACUGUAUGUUAAGAUAAGCACAAGAAAUGGAGGACUCCAGAAAUGUCUGAAACCAGACAAAGACGAAAAUGAUAUUAUAGAGACGGAAUGAGAUUCGUUACAUUGAGAAUAAAUAAUAUUAACAUUGCUCAAACUCUAAGUUGAGAGUUUCAUACAGACCAGACCCUAAGUUGGUUUCUCACUUGCUACAAUCAGGAAAAAUGUAGCUCAAGGAAUUCAUACCCAAUUCAAACAACGCUUGAUCAUGCAGAUACACAAGACCAUAUUUGGCAGGAGGAGAUCAAGGAGUUGUGUUUUUGGUCAUUUUAUGUAAAUCACAUAUUUGCAACACACCAAGAGCUAUAGGUCACAACUAUACACUACAAAAUCACUGAGCUAAUCCAUCCUAAGUCUGAUAUUAUGCUCUAUUCCACGUAAGAAUAAGAAAUAUAAAAUGUUGUAGAUAAUAUGUUACAUAAUAUGUUUUUUUUUUCCUUUUCUCCAGAUUCCACCUUUCACCUUUUCUUGCUAUAAGCUUUAAUCAAGCUGGUGUAAUGGCUCUUUUUAGUCACUUUGCAAGCAAAAAUCUGGUACAGGUUGUUGAGCUCUUGCCUGAUAUCAACACUCUAAUGAUUUAUCAGAUUGACAUUUCUGCUCCUGCAUAGUACCUGCAGCAUUUGAGAUGAUCACAAUCGUGAUUUAUCAAGACAUUACAGGCCCCACGCAGGUGAAGAAGCUCCGAUAGGUUCUUCAGCAGAACACAAGUCUUAGAGAAGUCAGGCGCUAAAUAACUGGGCUAAAGACAAAGCAAUUGUGUAUGUUUCAACUGAACUUUUCAAGAACAAGAGCUUGCCGAGUUUGUAUGUUGAUGGAAGCCGGUUCCGGAGCGGUGGCGUAGAGGGUUUCCUUUGCCCGAUUUGAAACCCGCCAGAGUCAAAACAAAAAGUUGCUCCGAGACAUCAUCAUAGUGAGGGAGCAAAUGUACAGAGCAAAUUUAAGGAAUAACAAGCCAGAAGUAGUUGUCACAACAAUGACCUUGAGAACUAUUGCAGGACGUGCUACUAGAAGCAUAUGCGGAAGUUCUGGGCUUCAAUCUGAACACAACAUUGCUACCAUUUCCCUGCAACAUCUCACAUACCUAUUUCAACACUUUUGCUUUUACUAAUUUCAAAUAAACUAAUUUUCGUCAGCUUUGUAUCCUAAGGAAUAGUGUUAGUUAACUAUGUACCAAAUUACAGACUGAAAUUGUGAGGCUAAGUGGUCUUC
This is a long non-coding RNA of Brassica oleracea var. oleracea, 1740 nucleotides long. RefSeq lists it as uncharacterized. The transcript has 7 exons. The record is from RefSeq and is a predicted model, not a curated record. NCBI's taxonomy places the organism in Eukaryota, Viridiplantae, Streptophyta, Magnoliopsida, Brassicales, Brassicaceae.